UCCCUGGUGGGCCAGUGGUUAGGACAUGACACUUUCACUGCCAUGGCCCAGGUUCAGUCCCUGGUUUGGAAA
This 72-nucleotide transfer RNA is filed under the name Bos taurus (domestic cattle). It matches the Rfam family "tRNA". Rfam says of the family: Transfer RNA (tRNA) molecules are approximately 80 nucleotides in length. Their secondary structure includes four short double-helical elements and three loops (D, anti-codon, and T loops). Further hydrogen bonds mediate the characteristic L-shaped molecular structure. tRNAs have two regions of fundamental functional importance: the anti-codon, which is responsible for specific mRNA codon recognition, and the 3' end, to which the tRNAs corresponding amino acid is attached (by aminoacyl-tRNA synthetases). tRNAs cope with the degeneracy of the genetic code in two manners: having more than one tRNA (with a specific anti-codon) for a particular amino acid; and 'wobble' base-pairing, i.e. permitting non-standard base-pairing at the 3rd anti-codon position. The record is from Rfam by way of RNAcentral. Lineage: Eukaryota; Metazoa; Chordata; Mammalia; Artiodactyla; Bovidae. RNAcentral also lists the same sequence under 5 other names.